Molecule: ribosomal RNA, 404 nt
Filed under: Verrucomicrobiota bacterium
Lineage: Bacteria; Pseudomonadati; Verrucomicrobiota
Description: Verrucomicrobia bacterium partial 16S ribosomal RNA
Rfam family: Bacterial small subunit ribosomal RNA
Source: RNAcentral
UGGGGAAUAUUGGACAAUGGGCGCAAGCCUGAUCCAGCCAUGCCGCGUGAGUGAUGAAGGCCCUAGGGUUGUAAAGCUCUUUCACCGGUGAAGAUAAUGACGGUAACCGGAGAAGAAGCCCCGGCUAACUUCGUGCCAGCAGCCGCGGUAAUACGAAGGGGGCUAGCGUUGUUCGGAUUUACUGGGCGUAAAGCGCACGUAGGCGGACUUUUAAGUCAGGGGUGAAAUCCCGGGGCUCAACCCCGGAACUGCCUUUGAUACUGGAAGUCUUGAGUAUGGUAGAGGUGAGUGGAAUUCCGAGUAUAGAGGUGAAAUUCGUAGAUAUUCGGAGGAACACCAGUGGCGAAGGCGGCUCACUGGACCAUUACUGACGCUGAGGUGCGAAAGCGUGGGGAGCAAACAGG